AUAUCAAUAAGCGGAGGAAAAGAAACCAACAGGGAUUGCCUCAGUAACGGCGAGUGAAGCGGCAACAGCUCAGAUUUGAAAUCCGUAUUCCGGAGUUGUAAUCUGCAGAGGAACGUUUGGUUAGGAGCCGGGUCAAAUCACCUGGAAUGGUAUGCCUUAGAGGGUGAGAGCCCCGUACCGUCCGGCUUCCGUCGCCAUGUAAACGUCCUUCGACGAGUCGAGUUGUUUGGGAAUGCAGCUCUAAUCGGGUGGUAAAUUUCAUCUAAAGCUAAAUAUUGGCCAGAGACCGAUAGCGCACAAGUAGAGUGAUCGAAAGAUGAAAAGCACUUUGAAAAGAGAGUUAAACAGUAUGUGAAAUUGUUGAAAGGGAAGCGCUUGCAACCAGACUUGAGCGCGGCGGUUCCCCCGGUCUUUUGGCCGGGCUACUCCGUCGUGUCCAGGCCAACAUCGGUUCUGAGGGUCGGUCAAAGGCCUUGGGAAUGUAUCUACCUACGGGUAGACUUAUAGACCAGGGUGUCAUGCGGCCUCUCGGGACCGAGGAACGCGCUUCGGCUCGGAUGUUGGCGUAAUGGUUGUCAGCGA
Molecule: ribosomal RNA, 582 nt
Filed under: uncultured fungus
Lineage: Eukaryota; Fungi
Description: eukaryotic LSU rRNA
Rfam family: Eukaryotic large subunit ribosomal RNA
Source: RNAcentral